RNAcentral lists this long non-coding RNA (167 nucleotides) under Chinchilla lanigera (long-tailed chinchilla). Its description in RNAcentral is "lncRNA (ENSCLAG00000027410.1)". Lineage: Eukaryota; Metazoa; Chordata; Mammalia; Rodentia; Chinchillidae. The record is from RNAcentral.
CUUAGUGUCACUGACAGCGGCCGUGCAUAUUUUUUAAGUUGAAGAUUUGGUCCUUUUAAGAUUACAGGAGACCAAGAAGUGAACAAUAGCACCCAGUUCAAAUAUUCUUCACAGCUGAGAUUGGGAUAUGAACCAAAAGUCAGUUGAGAACUUACAAGAUAAACUGU